This 22-nucleotide non-coding RNA is filed under the name Arabidopsis thaliana (thale cress). The record is from RNAcentral. Lineage: Eukaryota; Viridiplantae; Streptophyta; Magnoliopsida; Brassicales; Brassicaceae.
UUAGAGCUGAAUGGGUGCUUCA